UUAGAGUGCUUAAAGCGGGCGCAAUGUUUAACGCCAAAACGAAAGUGCAUUGAACGAAAAAAUAAGACCUCGACCGCGCCGUUGUUUCGAUCGGUUUCAGGCGGCCGAGGUGAUGAUUAAGAGAAGCGGCCGGAGGCACACGUAUUGCGUCGCUAGAGGUGAAAUUCGUUGACCGUCGCAAGACGAACCGAGGCGAAGGCGUCUGUCAAGUACGUUUUCAUUAGUCAAGAACGAAAGUCAGAGGAUCGAAGGCGAUCAGAUACCGCCCUAGUUCUGACCGUAAACUUUGCUACCUGACGAUCCGCCGACGUCGUACCCUUGACUCGGCGGGAAGUCUCCGGGAACCUAAGGUUCGUAGCUCCGGGGAAGGUAUGGUUGCAAAACUAGAAACUUAAAGGAAAGUUAGACGGAAGGGACGACCACCAGGAGUGGAGCCUGCGGCUUAAUUCGACUCAACACGGGGAAMSUUACCAGGACCGGGCGCUGAAAGGAUUGACAGAUUGAGAGCUCUUUCUCGAUUUUAGCGGGAGGUGGUGCAUGGCCGUUUCAAGUUGGUGGUGCGAAUUGUCUGGUUGAU
RNAcentral lists this ribosomal RNA (577 nucleotides) under Diastylis sp. SMB-2011. RNAcentral describes it as "bacterial SSU rRNA". It matches the Rfam family "Eukaryotic small subunit ribosomal RNA", at positions 777 to 1334 of the family's 1831-position model. The record is from RNAcentral. Lineage: Eukaryota; Metazoa; Arthropoda; Malacostraca; Cumacea; Diastylidae.